GCGAUGACGUCGCUGGCGCAGGCGCACUCUGUCGGCGACGCCGCGGCGCUGCUUGGUCUGUGAGCUGAAGGUACGGGCAGUCUCUUCUCCCAGCGAGAGGAGAAAGUGGGCAUUUUUAAGGUCAUCUGCAUCUUUCGUCAGAGGAAAAGAUGGUCAACGUUUUGAAAGGAGUGCUUAUAGAAUGGAACCCCGUUCUGAAUCUCACACCAUCAGACUAAACCACGUGCUUUGCAGUAAUCCACAAACACCCAAAUCUUUCCUUGGUUUUUCCCUGAAGACUACCUGUCACUCUUCAGUAGCUCUCCUCUCAGAUUCUUGCUCUCAGGGACUGGAGGAAAACGCACAGCAUACUGUGCAGUCUCACUUCAGAUUCGUGACCGCUCAACUCAGGCGGACCCUGAAUGCUAGCCAGCGAGCUCGUGACGUUUCCUAGUUCACUUACUCUCCACUUUCCUGGUAAAGCUGUUACAUCAAAUCUAAGAUUUCAUUAAUUUUACAAACUUAGUGAUUAUUUUAUGUACCUUUAAGAAAAAUCACUGCCAGUUAUACUCUAAUAUCUCCUCGAUUGUUAAGACUCAUCUCAGUUUCAGAGUUGUUAAAGUGUGUGUUGGGGCGGGGUGGGGAUGUGCUUCUUAAAAUGGAUGAAAUCUAGUAUUUCAUACCUUCAAUUUCUCUUACCUCGAACAACUUCCAUGUCUUCACUUGUAGCUGAUUCCUUGCUUCCUAUUUCACUGGGAAAAUAAAAGCAAUCAGAGGAGAACGUCCAUGACUCUUUCUCACAUGGCUCUGUGUCCAUAUACCACCCCCUCCCCACCCAGUUACUAUGAAGGAACUGCCCAUUCUCCUGUCUAAAGCCAGCUUUCCUGCUUGGGAACCGGAUCUCAUCCCCUCCUGCCUAUUUAAGAACACUUCUUCAGUGGUUUUCCUCUUUUCUCCUGCUUUAUCAUCAGUUUUUUUCCUCUGCUAGAUCAUUCCCUGUGUAUCACAAACAUACUGUAAUUUGUCCCCACCCCUCCCAGGCAAAAACUGAGUCCCACAUCCCUUUCCAGCUCCCACUCUGUUUUCAUGCUCAUUGUAGCAGAAUUUCUCAGACCUGUCUCUGUUCACUUUAAUUUCUCUCCUCCUUCUGAAACCCACUCGUCAGCCUUCUCCCUACAACUCUACCAAAACUGCUUGCACCAAGGUCCAGCAGCUUUCUGAAUCCAGUGGUUGGUCCUCAGUCCUUACCUUACUAUGCCUGUGAACCACAUUUGACGCAGUUGAUCAUUCUCCUUUCUGAAUAUCCUUUGUUCACUUAGCUUCCAGAACUCUUCGUGCAUUCUUCCUACCUCAGUGGUCACUGAUUUGUUUUUACCUUUUGUUGUCGGGGUGUCCAAGGCUUGGUCCUUGGACCCUUUGUAGCUUCCCCUGUCGUACAUUGAUGACUGACUCUUACUCUUUGGUCUGGACUUCGCUGUGUGAAAUCCACAAUGGUAUAUCCAGCUUCUUACUCUGCUGCUUCACGUCGGUGCCUGUAGGCUUCUCAAAUGUAACAUGCCUAAAACCAACGCGAUCUUACCGGCAAACCUGUUCUUCCCACACUCAUCCUCAGUGAAACAACUCCAUCCUUUCAUUUCCUCCAACUAAGAAUUUUAGAGCCUCCUUAAAUCCUCUCUUUCAAAGCUCAAGUGUAGUCUUAGGAAAUCUUGUUGCCUUUAUUUUUAACAUAUGUCUAAAAUUCAGCCACGUCUGAUUACCUGUUACCACCUAGGUCCAAAUCAUCAUCAUCGUCUCUUGCCUGGAUACAGCAGUCACCUCACUGGUCUCCCUGUGCCACCCUUGCUGCUGCCACCACCCUUGCUGCUGCCGCCACCCUUCACUCACCUCCAGAUUUCUCAACCCAGCAGGCAGUAUGACUCGUACAUCUAAAAUGUAACUCAAUUUGUAAAUUGACAUGGCACUUAGUAAAAGUCAAAGUCCUUAAAAUCAUCUUUAAGGUCCUACAUCAUCUGAACCAGUUUUAACUUUCCGAGCUCUCUCCCACUAUCUCCCAUCAGGCGCCUGUCUCUAGCCACCUGUAGGCUCUUCACUCUGCCUAGGAUGCUUCUCCCCCACACCGCCUUCUGCGGUUCACUCGGAUGUCACCUGCUCAGUAAGGCCUGCCUUUACUCCCUUACUUAAACUUGCAAGAGCCUAUCAGUUUCACCACUGCCAUUUCUCAUCCUACUUUUCUGGUUUUGUGUUUGUUUAUCAUAGUUCUACUGCUAGAAUAUAAGCUCUGUGACAUGGAAGGUUCUUAAUUGUUUUGUUCAUUGCUAAAUCCCCAGGACUGGAAUAGGGCCUGGCACAUGAUAGGUAUUCAUUAAGUAUUUAUUAAGUGAGUGAGUACAAAAAAUAGCAGAUUUUGUCGAAUCUAAGUGAGUAAGUGUAGCCUUUAGGUGUUCUGAACCUAAGUGUAAGAUAAACAUACUAGAAACUAAAUUUAAAAUCUGUCAAUUCUGAUGUGGGUAGAUCUAUUCACAUAAUUUUACAGCAUAGUAAAUUAUUAAUACAAUCAUUUUAGUGGUAAGUUGAAAGUAAGAAAGUAAUUAGGAAGGCUCGACUUUUUAAUAGUUAAUAUAUUGCGAACCAUACUCAUUUAGUGAGUAAAAUAAAUCCUUUGUUGGCUUCACUUAUUACCCAUGUUAGUACUUGAAAGAAGUAAAACUUGUUUUUAUUGUUCAUUAAAUUUUUCUGACCUUUUGAAUUAAAUUAUCUUUGUAAUUGAUGUUGACAUUAAAAAACCAAAAGAUUGUGUAAGAUUAUCUUUUCUGUAAAAAUUAAAUCUGUAUGCAACUUGA
Pteropus alecto (black flying fox) is the source of this 2819-nucleotide RNA transcript. It is a transcript of the gene named general transcription factor IIH subunit 5, with no coding region annotated. The transcript is spliced from 4 exons. The record is from RefSeq and is a predicted model, not a curated record. NCBI's taxonomy places the organism in Eukaryota, Metazoa, Chordata, Mammalia, Chiroptera, Pteropodidae.